Molecule: non-coding RNA, 22 nt
Filed under: Arabidopsis thaliana (thale cress)
Lineage: Eukaryota; Viridiplantae; Streptophyta; Magnoliopsida; Brassicales; Brassicaceae
Source: RNAcentral
UAACCAAGCCUAUUUCAGUUCC